RNAcentral lists this ribosomal RNA (279 nucleotides) under uncultured bacterium. Its description in RNAcentral is "partial 16S ribosomal RNA". It matches the Rfam family "Bacterial small subunit ribosomal RNA", at positions 506 to 784 of the family's 1533-position model. The record is from RNAcentral.
UGCCAGCCGCCGCGGUAAUACGUAGGUGGCAAGCGUUAUUCGGAAUUAUUGGGCGUAAAGGGCGCGCAGGCGGUCUUGUCCGUCAGGUGUGAAAGCUCGGGGCUCAACCCCGGAAGUGCACUUGAAACAGCAAGACUUGAAUACUGGAGAGGAAAGCGGAAUUCCUGGUGUAGAGGUGAAAUUCGUAGAUAUCAGGAGGAACACCGAUGGCGAAGGCAGCUUUCUGGACAGAUAUUGACGCUGAGGCGCGAAGGCGUGGGUAGCGAACGGGAUUAGAUA